CCUACGGGAGGCAGCAGUAGGGAAUAUUGCUCAAUGGGGGAAACCCUGAAGCAGCAACGCCGCGUGGAGGAUGAAGGUUUUCGGAUUGUAAACUCCUUUUGUUAGAGAAGAUAAUGACGGUAUCUAACGAAUAAGCACCGGCUAACUCCGUGCCAGCAGCCGCGGUAAUACGGAGGGUGCAAGCGUUACUCGGAAUCACUGGGCGGAAAGAGCGCGUAGGCGGGAUAGCAAGUCAGAUGUGAAAUCCUAUGGCUUAACCAUAGAACUGCAUUUGAAACUGUUAUUCUAGAGUAUGGGAGAGGUAGGUGGAAUUCUAGGUGUAGGGGUAAAAUCCGUAGAGAUCAAGAGGAAUACUCAUUGCGAAGGCGACCUGCUAGAACAUAACUGACGCUGAUGCGCGAAAGCGUGGGGAGCAAACAGGAUUAGAUACCCUAGUAGUC
RNAcentral lists this ribosomal RNA (440 nucleotides) under uncultured bacterium. RNAcentral describes it as "partial 16S ribosomal RNA". It matches the Rfam family "Bacterial small subunit ribosomal RNA", at positions 338 to 795 of the family's 1533-position model. The record is from RNAcentral.